This 208-nucleotide long non-coding RNA is filed under the name Dasypus novemcinctus (nine-banded armadillo). RNAcentral describes it as "lncRNA (ENSDNOG00000052105.1)". Lineage: Eukaryota; Metazoa; Chordata; Mammalia; Cingulata; Dasypodidae. The record is from RNAcentral.
GUUUAUCCGGAGUUCAGGGCUGUGGCUGCGGGGCUUUCCCGACCGGAAGCUUGUUAGAAUUCUGUCUCCGUGAGAAUCACAGCCUUCACCGGUACUGCAGCUGCAUCCUUAUACUUAGCCAUCAACCUCUCCAAAGAAGUAAGAGCAUUAAGAAACUAAAAACAAAGCCAAUAACCUCAUAAUACAGGUAAAUAAUUUCUCCUCCUGA